UGCGAGUCGAGCGUCUCUAGCUAUGUUGAGACGCGGCAGACGGCUCAGUAACACGUGGCUAACCUACCCUCAGGACAAGGACAAACCCGGGAAACUGGGGCUAAUACUUGAUAGGCGAAGAUGCCUGGAAUGGUUCUUCACUCAAAGGAUUUGGAAACAUGCUUCCAAAUCGCCUGGGGAUGGGGCCGCGUCCGAUCAGGUUGUUGGUGAGGUAAUGGCUCACCAAGCCGAUAACCGGUACGGGCCGUGAGAGCGGUAGCCCGGAGAUGGGUACUGAGACAAGGACCCAGGCCCUACGGGGCGCAGCAGUCGCGAAAACUCCGCAAUGCACGAAAGUGUGACGGGGCUACCCCGAGUGCCAUCCGCUGAGGAUGGCUUUUCCUUGGUAUAACUAGCCAGGGGAAUAAGGAGAGGGCAAGACUGGUGUCAGCCGCCGCGGUAAUACCAGCUCUCCGAGUGGUAAGGAUGAUUAUUGGGCUUAAAGCGUCCGUAGCCGGCUUAGCAAGUCUCCUGUUAAACUCAGCGACCUAAUCGUUGAAUCGCGGGAGAUACUAUUAGGCUAGGAGGCGGGAGAGGUCGACGGUACUUCUGGGGUAGGGGUGAAAUCCUAUAAUCCCGGGAGGACCACCAGUGGCGAAGGCUGUCGACUAGAACGCGCUCGACGGUGAGGGACGAAAGCUGGGGGAGCGAACCGGAUUAGAUACCCGGGUAGUCCCAGCUGUAAACGAUGCGGGCUAGGUGUUGGGGUGGCUACGGGCCACUUCAGUGCCGCAGGGAAGCCGUUAAGCCCGCCGCCUGGGGAGUACGGCCGCAAGGCUGAAACUUAA
This 827-nucleotide ribosomal RNA is filed under the name uncultured crenarchaeote. Its description in RNAcentral is "bacterial SSU rRNA". It matches the Rfam family "Archaeal small subunit ribosomal RNA", at positions 52 to 859 of the family's 1478-position model. The record is from RNAcentral. Lineage: Archaea; Thermoproteati; Thermoproteota.